This 89-nucleotide transfer RNA is filed under the name Todea barbara. Its description in RNAcentral is "tRNA-Ser". It matches the Rfam family "tRNA". From Rfam's summary of the family: Transfer RNA (tRNA) molecules are approximately 80 nucleotides in length. Their secondary structure includes four short double-helical elements and three loops (D, anti-codon, and T loops). Lineage: Eukaryota; Viridiplantae; Streptophyta; Polypodiopsida; Osmundales; Osmundaceae. The record is from RNAcentral.
GGAGAGAUGGUCGAGUGGUUUAUGGCUCCAGUCUUGAAAACUGGCAUGGUGAUGAGACACUAUCGAGGGUUCGAAUCCCUCUCUCUCCU